This 518-nucleotide ribosomal RNA is filed under the name uncultured bacterium. Its description in RNAcentral is "bacterial SSU rRNA". It matches the Rfam family "Bacterial small subunit ribosomal RNA", at positions 552 to 1069 of the family's 1533-position model. The record is from RNAcentral.
UACUGGGCGUAAAGCGAGCGUAGGUGGCUAAUUAAGUCACAUGUGAAAUCCCUGGGCUUAACCUAGGAACUGCAUGUGAUACUGGUUAGCUAGAGUAUGUGAGAGGGGUGUAGAAUUCCAGGUGUAGCGGUGAAAUGCGUAGAGAUCUGGAGGAAUACCGAUGGCGAAGGCAGCACCCUGGCAUAAUACUGACACUGAGGUUCGAAAGCGUGGGUAGCAAACAGGAUUAGAUACCCUGGUAGUCCACGCCGUAAACGAUGUCUACUAGCCGUUGGGGUCCAUGAGACUUUAGUGGCGCAGUUAACGCGAUAAGUAGACCGCCUGGGGAGUACGGCCGCAAGGUUAAAACUCAAAGGAAUUGACGGGGACCCGCACAAGCGGUGGAUGAUGUGGAUUAAUUCGAUGCAACGCGAAGAACCUUACCUGGUCUUGACAUGUACGGAAUCCUCCAGAGACGGAGGAGUGCCUUCGGGAGCCGUAACACAGGUGCUGCAUGGCUGUCGUCAGCUCGUGUCGUG